CUUGGAUAUGAAGUUUUUUGAUUAAAUCUGCUAAUGGAAGUAGAAGAGGCCUUCAUUUUAACUGGUGGUUGAAUGAUUUGUGAAGAGAAAAAAAGAUGGACCUAAGAUUGCCUAUUUCUUUGAGUUUUGCUUAUGAUCGCUGGUACACCACUAUAGGUAUCUUCAAUUCUGGAGGGUUUUUUUUCCGAGCUUCCUAAAAUAAGCGCUUCAUACCCCCCGAUGAUCAGCAAAGACAAUUUUACUAUUAUUGAUAAC
Molecule: long non-coding RNA, 255 nt
Organism: Zophobas morio
Lineage: Eukaryota; Metazoa; Arthropoda; Insecta; Coleoptera; Tenebrionidae
Exons: 3
Source: RefSeq, a predicted model, not a curated record